RNAcentral lists this ribosomal RNA (465 nucleotides) under uncultured bacterium. RNAcentral's name for it is "partial 16S ribosomal RNA". It matches the Rfam family "Bacterial small subunit ribosomal RNA", at positions 28 to 507 of the family's 1533-position model. The record is from RNAcentral.
GACGAACGCUGGCGGCGUGCUUAACACAUGCAAGUCGAACGGAAAGGCCCUGCUUGCAGGGUACUCGAGUGGCGAACGGGUGAGUAACACGUGGGUGAUCUGCCCUGCACUUCGGGAUAAGCUUGGGAAACUGGGUCUAAUACCGGAUAGGAGCCAUCUUUAGUGUGGUGGUUGGAAAGUUUUUUCGGUGUAGGAUGAGCUCGCGGCCUAUCAGCUUGUUGGUGGGGUAAUGGCCUACCAAGGCGGCGACGGGUAGCCGGCCUGAGAGGGUGUACGGCCACAUUGGGACUGAGAUACGGCCCAGACUCCUACGGGAGGCAGCAGUGGGGAAUAUUGCACAAGGGGCGCAAGCCUGAUGCAGCGACGCCGCGGGGGGGAUGAAGGCCUUCGGGUUGUAAACGCCUUUCGCUAGGGACGAAGCUUUUUGUGACGGUACCUAGAUAAGAAGCACCGGCUAACUACGUG